GGCGCUUCCUGGCCGGGCUGGAUUUUCUAUCGCUCACAAAAUGGCGCGCGUUCCAAACCUGCGCAGCGCCCGGCGGCGGCAACGGCGGGGCCCGGCCUCGCCUCGGCUCGGGGAACGCUGAGUAGAUGUUUUCAGAGAAAUAUUCAUCAGAACCCAAAGAUCUCUUUUGUGAGUACAGAAUCAGCUUAUAGUCCACCAUUGUAUAUGUAAUUUUUUUCCCCAUGUGCACAACUUUCCAUUUAACUAUGUCACAUUUUAUCUGUCGUUUUCUUAUCCAGGCACUCAGUCUUGUAAAGUCUUUCUAUAGCUCUUCAGUUCUUCACAGCCAUUUUAACUUCAUCACAAUUUGUCCUCUAACUUUCCUUUACCUGAAUAGCUUAAUAUCAUUAGCAAUCUGUGAUACCUCACUGCUCGCUCUCUUUUUCCAGAUCAUUUAUGAAUACAUUAAGCAGCACAAGUCACAGCACAGGUCCCUGCAGACUCCUCUUGUGAUCUUCCUCUUCUAUGAAAACCAACCUUUAUUUCUGUUUUAAUUCUGCUUCCUGUCUUCUAGCCAUUUUUUGAUCCAUUCCCUUUUCUUCUUAUUGCAUAAAGGCUUUUUUUUUUUUUCCUUGCUUUUCUCUUUUUCUAAUGAAGCUUUGUCUAGGGAUCUCAUUGCCAUUGCCGCUGGGAGUCCUGUAGCCCUUAAACAGGAGCUCUCCUUGUCCACACGUGUUAACUCUAUCAAAGAAUUAUAGAUCUGCAACAUGUGAUGUAAUGUAACAAAAGCUGUGCUGUGUCUUCCUCAAUAUGUUCUAUUUAUGUAUGUGUCCAUUGAUUCUGUUAAGAAGGACAGAUAAAACUUAUUUGCCCAGAUGGCUAACGCAACAGACUUACUUCUGUGUAGCUGCUUGCAUCUUCACUGAAGUCAUUUCUGAAAGUGGCUGGCACAGUCCCUACUGAGUUACCAGGGAAAGGAAUUUUAAAACCAGGGCCACGCACUUCAGUACUUCAACUCUCAGCUGCCUGAUUUCUCUUAGAGCUCUCGGAUGGAGGCCAUCUGGUCUCCACAGCAUCUCACUUAUUUCUUUGUUCCCUAACAUCUUCUGCCCCACAUUUAAAUUUGAGGUAAAUCUCCUGAAUUUCUCAUAAUGAAAGGUGCUGGCAUGAGUUUCUCAAAGCUUUUGCACUGUGAAAACAGAUGAAAAACCAUGAAUGUAGUUUUUUUCUAUGGCUUGUUUUCUUUAAGUGUUCUUCUUCCAGAUUGAUGGUCUAUAGGCUUUUUUUAAUGAAAAAGUUCUGUUACUUACAAGCCUCCUUUCAAGCCACUACAAAACAUUACUAUGCAAAAGUUGUUGAUUAUAAAAGCUGAUGUAAAAUGUGAGGUUUGUGUUAUAUUAUUAGCAAGAACACGUGCUUGUUUCCUGGAAAAGAAAACGGUAAUCUGUGCUGCUCUCAUCAGAUGUCGUGAUCAAAGCACUGGGCUUAAUAAACAAAAGAGUAACAGAAUUACAAAGUUAGAUCAAACUAGCGAGUUGAUUGAUCCGAGAUCCUGUUAUCUCCAUGAAACUUGUCAGGAAAUACAUCAUGGAGAGUUAGGGAAUAUCCAGCUUCUAGGUAUACUUUGAGCAACAAUGUUACGAUGUUUAGUGAUCGUGGAUGUUUCCGUAGAGUCGUAGGAUAUCCUGAGUUGGAAGGGACCCAUGACGAUCAUUGAGUCCAACUCCUGGCUCCACACAGGACAAAUCUGCCUCUUGUGUGCAAGGGAAAUAAUGAGAAGAACCUGGGUGAAUGUCAGAGCUGCUACUUUUGUAAUGAAUAAUGUGUCUGUCAACUUAAAAAUCAGGAAAAAAACAAUAGUUCUUUUAUUCUGAGAUAAAAACGUUGCAUCAUUGUACAGAAUCUCACAAAACCCAUUAUAAAUGUUUUGCACUGCAAAUAUAUAUAUAUAAUUUAAUUUAUUUCUACAGUUUGCUAUCUUAUUCUAAAGUACUUCUUAUUGCCUGACACUAUUUUUUUUACCUACAAUACUCUUUCAAAAAAAAAAAAAAAUUGAAUGUCUGAAUCAGAUAUAAAAACUUGCUUUUUUUUUAUGCACUGUUGGUUGUCCCCCCUCCAUGUAUUCCAUAAUGUCAUUUUCCGUAUUUCCUAACGCUUUUGAGAGAAGAGUAAAGCUUGGUGCAAUUUUCACUCAGUACUAACCCUUUUUUUUUUAAACAAGCUGAUCACAUUUAAUCUGUGGCAAUUCUGUUAAAAAAGACGCAUUUUGGUGGAAAAAAUGUUACUUGGUUCUUAGAAGCCUUCAGGAUUCAUAACCAAAUAUUAUCCUGUUUAUGGAAUUAACUGUGUUUAACUAUUUCCUGUUUUUUCAACAGCUCAGCUUCCAGCGCUGCUUUGCCUCCUGACACCACAAGUACCCCCACAUUUCCUGUGACCGAUCAGUUUGCAAUGUUUUACCCCUUGUAGAGGAGCUCUCAUCAUGCUGCCAACUGCAGUUCUCACAGAAUAGCUCUGAAGAUUUCAAUAACACAGAAUAUCAUCUUUUUUUGCUUCCUAAUAGCUGAGUAUGGCCCUCUAACUGAUAAGUACAACGAAUGUACACAUACCUCCUUCAACUUUAUGUAUAUUGUUUGGUAGUCUUUGAGAACAUUUUUUUUCCUUUCUUCUUUUAAUUUUAUCUUUAUGUAUUAUCUGACUUUCUUUAGUAGCUUCUAUAUGAACUUUUCUUCAACUAAGUUUCAUUGAUUAUCCUUCUACAGCCUUUUCUUGUCUAUAUCCAUGCACAGUUCUUCUAAGCCUGAUAAACCUUAAAGUAUAAUUUUAAAAGAAAAAUAACUUUCUGUGCAAUGAGAAGUGUUUCAGAAAAUGUGGUUAAGAUUUAAUGUGUAUACAGCUCUGUAUGGGAACUGUUGAAUCAUAGCCUGAACCUCUGAUUGAUCACCUGAGGCAAGCACUGAGUCAGCCACGGGAGCACAGGUGAAUGCAAUUCACCUGUGUGACUGGAAGGGGGGGAGCCUGGCUCCACCUCUCCUAGACCCCAUUUAAGGGUUGACUGCCACUACAGAAGGAUAUCUCUCUGGAGAUUGCUCCUCGUGGAGUUUUCUUGUGAGCCUACAACACCAGUGUGACUUUUGCCAUUUAUUUCUGUUUAUCUUUUCCAGCAUGAUAAUCUUUCCAGCAAUAUGCUCUCAAAAGACCAGCCUAACUUCUUUGUAUACUUAUUGAUUGUACAUCUAUAUACUCACUGAGUAUACAAGUUCCUAUGUAGGAUAGUUUUCUUUUUCAUCAUCAUCUUUGUUUCUGAAGCAUUCAAGAGCCCUACCAAACACUUAUGUGAUGCGAUGAGGGGCUUUGGCAUGAUUUCUGCACCAAAGAUAAUGAAUUUAAAUAUGCUUGUGUUGUUUAUUUUGUGUUACUUAGAAGCAGAGAAUGGCUUUUCCACUCCUGAGGUCUCAUUUCUUUUUGGCAUGUCAAGCAUAUGCUUCCAUAAAGCAAGUAAAAAUGAUUCAAUAAAUGAAUAUUUGUAACGACUCUCUUAUUAGCUUUAAUAAUUUCUCUCAGCAGUGUGUGUUCUAUAUUCUUCUGAUGACAAGUAGUGAAUUUUCAGGUAUGAUUUUGUAUUACCUGCACAACUUCUUCAACUAAUUUCCUUAAGUAUAUUGCUGUUCUCUAGGCAAAGGCAGUUCUGUUUUGUUUAUUUCAAAUUACAAAUGCAGUAAAGUGAUACAUAUUAAUGCAUAAAUUUCAGCCUUGUGUUGAGGCAAAAAAAGAAGUCUGAUUAUUCUGAACAAUUUAAGCGUAUUUCUUAAAAUAAUACAUUAAGGUGAGUUAAAGCAAAUGCAUGUGCUAUUCUACUGAAUUUAAUAUAUUUUUUUUCAUAUACUUUCAGUUGAGGUUCAACUUGUACAAGAGAUCUUCUAGUUCAGUCCCUGUUCAGGAUCAACAAAACUUAAAAACAAUGAUAGAAGUUCAAAUUCAAGUUAGUGUUUGGCUAAUUCUGCAAGUAGAAAUAUAUCCAAUAUGAAUUAAAGUAAAAUAUGUACCCUAGUUCUUUGUGGGGGGAAAAAAAAACAGGAAUAAACAAUAAAAAUAAUAUUGUAGCUGAAUGCAGCACUGCAUGAGCCAACAUCAGUAACAGUGAUAUGAAUUAAGUAAUAAAGAGCUGUCUUGUGACAGUAGCUUCUAUGUUCCUAAAUCAAUUCCAAUCUCCUAAAUAAAACUGUGUUUAAAAAAGAGUGCGAAGGAGAAUAAAAGAACUACUUCGAGGAACAGAAAUAUUUAGUAUGAUUUUUUUCUUCAUUGAAAUGCAUACACAGAGCACCUGAAGUCUGCAGAGUAACCUUAACUUUAUAAUUACCAAACAUAUCAUUCUUUCACUCUGGAGUCUUACUAGUACCUAUAAAUACCUAGAAACUGAUGAAAGUAACAAAAAAACCCUCCCAGAUUCUGCUAUAUGGAACAGCAGUGAUUCCCACAUUCAUCUCUUGGACAAGAAUGUCUUUAUCCCCAUCGUGGACCACUGCUGCUUAAGCUGACUGCACAAUAGCAGCUGUUAUCUUCACGUGGCAGGACCUGCCCUCAGGAGAUAGCCACUUGCUUUGUGCCGGGCACCAGGAGUGCCGGCUGACAGUCAAGGUGCAUUGAGAGGUGCCCUGGCCCAGAGCCCGUGUGCUGCAAUAACCCUUCAUGUAGCCCACUACCACUUCCUUUUUAUCAUUCCUCCACUUCCAGAUUGGAGGUGGAUGGUGUGCAUAAAGCUGCAACUCUAUGAAGUACCUCCCAUUGGCUGAACAAAGCCUAAAAUUUUCAGUCUCAUCAUUUCUCCAAAUUUGGAAUGGAUUUUUCAAGUGGACAGAAGAAGCAUCCCCUGACAAUGAGAGGAUGCCCUGCCAAAUUUCAAGCCUUUGCUCCAAAGCUUGAACUGACACUCAUUUUGCUGAAAUUUUCAAAAUAAUUCCCUAUGAGGUAAGUAAUGUAUUAGAUAGAGAAAUAUUAUGACUUUGAUCAAUCAGAAGAAAUCAGUUCUUAUGAAUAAAUAUAGUUAUGGCUGUAACUAGUAGCAUGACAGAAACAAAUAAUGUAAGAGAUGAUCACCUGGGGACUCACAAUCUUCCCCUCAAAAUGCUGGAUUAGACUAUGAUGGAGCUUUUUUUUUCCUCCCUAAUCCAUGAAUAAAACUGGUUAAAAGGAGAAAGGACAAUUAAAAGCAUUAUGUAUAUAAAUAAAAACAUUAAAAAUUGAUUUCAGAUUUUGGAAACGUGAAUUGAGGAGAUGAGGAUUGUAUUUGGCUCCAAACUAGCCAAAGCAUCUCUAAUUGUCCUAACUAGUAUUAACUCAGUCUAGACAUUUAGAAACACUGAUGACCACAUCUGCAGAUCUCUUUAUUUUAGCCACCAGCUUCACUAGUCCAACAGAACGUACUUGGAAUCAGAGACUGCAGUCAAGAAGGAGCUAUCAUCCAAUGCUGGCAAGAAGAAUUGCACAAAGAGUGCUUGCUGAACUAUUGAUACAGAGACCGUAUUUGGACACUGCCUCAUUGGGAGCCAGGGUGCUCCAGACGGAUUUGUUUGUGAUGAUCUGUGUUGCUAGGCAGGAGGGCAGCUACAGCCUGUACCAACGGGAGCUUUUUCUGGACGUGAGACCUCAGUUCCUAGAAAUGAGUAACUGAAGUACCUUCAGAAGUUUCCUAAGGAUGAUAAAUACUUGAUUGUGAAAGCAGUGGCAGAAAAUCUACAUAACCUGAAAACAACUGCACUAUCUGGGCAAAUACUCUUUUCAGUUCUUCUUUGUUGGGGUAAAAAAUAAAUUGAAACAAUCAGUCCCUUUUUUAGCUGUCUCAAAGUGAGUAGCAACAGUAACUAGUUAUGGAGCACAGUCCUAAUCCUUUGUAACUAAAUAUUCCUUUCUCUUAGCACUUGGAUUCUGUCUUUGAAAAACUCUGCUGAAUGUUUAGUGACAGCUGUCUCCACUCUUUCCCCAGAACAAAAGAUGCUGCUAAUUACAAGUGUGUACUGUUUGUUGGGGUUUGUUGGUUUGUUUGGCUAAGCUUUCCAUAAGCACUUAAGCAGCUGGCAUACUGUUUUGGUGGUCUUCUUCCUUAAUACAGCAUCACUUUUAGCACUAAAAUGUGCACAGGGGCGAGAGGGGACAGGCCAGAACCAUCUUCUUGGUUUCACAUGGCUGGGAGGGCUAAACACAGACUUGGAGCUUUGCACCCUCUUCAUGUCACUUGAGUGCUUCCCUCCUGCCAUUUCUGGAGCCCAUUCGUGCCCAGGAAUGAUCUCUGCAUGCUGUUGCUAGGACAUGGUACCUCCAGACUUGUAUUUAUUUUUUGAGCUAUUUGAAGCUAAGAAAAUGUAUCUUCUAAAUACCAAUAACUAAAAAAGGACAAUUAUUUAUACUAAGGCAAUAAAAUUAAAAUAAAGAUGGCUUCAGAAUC
Long non-coding RNA from Gallus gallus (chicken), 6418 nucleotides. RefSeq lists it as uncharacterized. Lineage: Eukaryota; Metazoa; Chordata; Aves; Galliformes; Phasianidae. The transcript has 2 exons. The record is from RefSeq and is a predicted model, not a curated record.